UCCCUGGUGGCUCAGAUGGUAAAGCGUCUGCUUGCAAUGCAGGAGACCUGGGUUCGACCCCUGGGUUGGGAA
Molecule: transfer RNA, 72 nt
Filed under: Bos taurus (domestic cattle)
Lineage: Eukaryota; Metazoa; Chordata; Mammalia; Artiodactyla; Bovidae
Also listed under: 3 other names
Rfam family: tRNA
About the family: Transfer RNA (tRNA) molecules are approximately 80 nucleotides in length. Their secondary structure includes four short double-helical elements and three loops (D, anti-codon, and T loops).
Source: Rfam by way of RNAcentral